Molecule: long non-coding RNA, 607 nt
Filed under: Macaca nemestrina (pig-tailed macaque)
Lineage: Eukaryota; Metazoa; Chordata; Mammalia; Primates; Cercopithecidae
Description: lncRNA (ENSMNEG00000045821.1)
Source: RNAcentral
UAUUAGUGCUUGCUUAUUUGAUUCUUUGUGCCUCAGCUAUACCACGGUAAAGAAUAGACUUGAAGUCUGAAUACCAUAGAGUAGCUUGUGGGACUGUGAACAAGUUGUUCUAAACCUCCAUAUCUUCCUCUAGAAAUGGAGGAAAUGGUAGCAUCUACCUGUGAAAUUUGGAGUUGGUAUAAAGUGAGAAAUUAAACUGAGCAGGGGGAAUCUCCCAGUGCCAAUCUCUGAAAAGGCUGCAAGACUCUGAAACAGAUCUCCCUAGAAAUCCCACCUGGAAGGACAGUAAGGUAUGCUAUUUGUCCCUUCCUGAAUCUGUUUUCUAUCUGUGCUUCAGCCAUCUAGGUAUUGUACCUCUUGCUUCAUAGUGUCCUGAUUUGUAUGUUUGUCCUUUCUCCAACCCCUAUCCAAAUAGCCUCAGGGCGUUCUGGAAGCACCAUGUCAUGUUAAAGUGUAAAUAAUGUCCACAGCGAUUUCCCCUUAAAUUUAUUUCCUUCAGUGAAUACAUGCCCAAGUAAUAGCAGUUUAAAAAAUAUGGAAAAGUGAAGUAAGAGAUAUUAUAUGGUAUUGUUCUGGAGAUGAUGUCAAACUAAGGAUUCUUUUCAGU